CUAGUUGCAUAGAACUCUGAAGACAUUUCUUUGAAUUAAGGAAAAUAGAAACGCCACACAGUUCAUUUUUGGAUAUCAAGGGUUUCACAUAUCGAAGCAGAAAACAUUGAGAAAUUUGCCCUAAAUUCAAGGUUAAAAGGAGCUUUUUCCAUUGCCCUGCUUUCAGCCAGAUUAUAUGUAUGAAAUAGUUCUUGGCAGGUUAGAAUAGAGGAAUUAUUGAAAACCUAAAAGAAAGAAGCCACACGUUUUAAUAUGAAAAUUUAGUACUUUCAAGAUGUAUUACCUUGUCACAUUGUUUAGAGAGUUUGACCAAAAAAUACAGAAGAGAUUUUUAAUUUGUAAUAAACUAGAAUUGGUAUGGUCAGUAUAUUUUCUCCAUAUUGGUAAAUAUUUCAGGUAUAUUGCUGUCAUUAAAAAGGCAAUGUUCAUAGUAUGAAAUUCUUUGAGCUAAACUUAAGUCUCAUUAGUAAUAAUUAUUUAUUGCAGAGGGAAGCUUAUCUAACACAUGGAAUGAAAAGUACAGUUCUUUACAAAAAACACCUGUUUGGAAAGGCAGGAAUACAGCCUCUGCUGUGGAAAUGCCUUUUAGAAAUUCAAAACGAAGUCGACUCUUUUCUGAUGAAGAUGACAGACAAAUAAAUACGAGGUCACCAAAAAGAAACCAGAGAGUUGCCAUGGUUCCACAGUGUUAUAAGAUUUUCCAGUAGGAUGGAUCAUAAUAGAGGUGAUUUUCUCAACCAAGGAUUUGGCCUCAAAUAAAUUAAAGGUAUGACUAGCAAUAUGCCCUACCGA
This is a non-coding RNA of Equus caballus (horse), 792 nucleotides long. The record is from RefSeq and is a predicted model, not a curated record. NCBI's taxonomy places the organism in Eukaryota, Metazoa, Chordata, Mammalia, Perissodactyla, Equidae.